GAGGUGUUCGCUGAAUAGUGUUGAGUGGUUUGUCCUGUCUAUAAUUGGAGCUAAAUCUCGGAUGUACUGGGAGUUCAUUGAGAUCUGGGCUUUGGUUUGAAUUGGUUGUGGUUGUAGGCGUGGUCUUACUUCGAAGGCCCCAUUUCCUAACAUGCAGCCAAGCAUUACCAAUGUAAAAGUUCCUCCCAAAAUGAUUGAUACCAAAGGAGGCUUCAUUUUAGAAGAAGAGGAAGAAGAGGAACAGAAGAUUGUAAAUGUUGUUCAUGAACCAGGGCCCGUCAUGGAGUUCGAUUAUGCCAUCUGUGAGGAAUGUGGGAAAGAGUUCAUGGACUCGUACCUUAUGAGCCACUUCGAUUUCCCAACAUGCGAUAGCUGCAGAGAUGCUGAUGAUAAACACAAGCUUAUAACCAAAACAGAAGCCAAGCAGGAAUACCUUCUGAAAGACUGCGAUUUAGAGAAGAGAGAACCCGCGCUUAGGUUCAUCGUGAAGAAGAACCCUCGUCACUCACAGUGGGGUGAUAUGAAGCUCUACCUAAAGUUACAGGUUGUCAAGCGGGCUCUUGAAGUUUGGGGUAGCCAGGAAGCACUGGAAGAUGCAAAGGAAGUGAGGCAGGAAAACCGAGAGAAAAUGAAGCAGAAGAAGUUUGAUAAGAAAGUCAAAGCGCUUGGUGGAUGUGUUCCUGUCCUGACUAGGCCACAGAGGGCUGAGUGGAGUAGACGGUAGAGUAGACUCGAGGAGCUGAUUGUGCAGUUUGCUCAGAACAGAGAGGAGUCAAAGCAAGUCUAAAGGCUUUUUAGUUGGAAAGAAAUUGGAACAUGGUUCCUCUUGAUGCACAGUGAAGCUGACGCAAAGCUUUCUUCUUAUGGGAAGAACUGCGACGAGCAGUAAGAAGCAGUGUGUGGAAAAGAGAAACAGCCGCUCACCAACAUGAGUAUGGACCAGAGGAAAGCUUAGAAGAUGACAUGUUCCGCAAGACUUGUACCUUGUGUGGCCACGAGCUGACGUAUGAAAAAAUGUGACUUUUAAAAACAUUUAUAUUUCAAUAAAGGCUCUCUUUAGAUGCA
This is a non-coding RNA of Myodes glareolus (Bank vole), 1065 nucleotides long. NCBI's taxonomy places the organism in Eukaryota, Metazoa, Chordata, Mammalia, Rodentia, Cricetidae. The record is from RefSeq and is a predicted model, not a curated record.